GAAAAAUAGAUGCUUGGUUCCAAGGCUAAUUUUCCCUUUGAAGGGUUUAUUACAAACAUCUACUAUUCAUCAUUUCCAACAUGUGACAUAAAAUUGAUUUUUGAAAUUCAACAUGUCAAAAAUCAGAUUCAGAUUCAGAUUCAAGUGUUAUUUGAUCUAAUGAACCAAGAACUGCAUGAUUUGUGAAAUUAAAGACCUUUGUGAUGACUGGGUUUCAAUCUAAUAACAUCCAUUGUAGGCUUGUAAGUUGUAGCUGUGCAUGGUAGCCAGCAAUAUGGAAGGAAGCACAAGAUCAAAGAAAAAUGGAAAGGAGAAAGAGAAGAUACCAAAAAGAAAGCAAUCAAUAGUCAGACCUAGGGUCAUGAUAUUGCAUCCCGAAAAGGAAAAGGGGAGAGAGAAAGGAAAAGAAAAGACACAAAAGAAAGCUAAAUGUUUCUAGCAAGAAAACAAAAGGUGGUUAAGUUGCACAAAAUUAUGUUUAUUUUUUGAAAAAAUUUCCACAAAAAUGGAGAGAAUUUCCAUUCAGACCAGUACCACUAUGAUUUCUGCUAUCAAUGCCAACAUUAUCACCACCAACACAACCACUAUAUUGCCACUGCCAUAACAUUUCAACCCAUGCUGUUAAACCCCUUAUGAAUCAAAUUUACUGAAGCAAU
RNAcentral lists this unclassified non-coding RNA (656 nucleotides) under Hevea brasiliensis (rubber tree). The record is from RNAcentral. Lineage: Eukaryota; Viridiplantae; Streptophyta; Magnoliopsida; Malpighiales; Euphorbiaceae.